RNAcentral lists this ribosomal RNA (400 nucleotides) under uncultured bacterium. Its description in RNAcentral is "bacterial SSU rRNA". It matches the Rfam family "Bacterial small subunit ribosomal RNA", at positions 29 to 417 of the family's 1533-position model. The record is from RNAcentral.
AGCGAACGCUAGCGGCGCGCCUAACACAUGCAAGUCGAGCGUGAAAAUCUUCGGAUGAGUAAAGCGGCGCACGGGUGAGUAACACGUGAGUAAUCUACCUUAGAGUCUGGAAUAACCUGCCGAAAGGCGGGCUAAUACCAGAUAGAUCGCGGAGUCCGUAACUGGGCACCACGGGAAAGGGAGGCAGCAAUGCCCCUUGCUCUAAGAUGAGCUUGCGUCCCAUUAGCUAGUUGGUAGGGUAACGGCCUACCAAGGCGAUGAUGGGUAGCUGGUCUGAGAGGACGAUCAGCCACACUGGAACUGAAACACGGUCCAGACUCCUACGGGAGGCAGCAGUGGGGAACUUUUGCGCAAUGGACGAAAGUCUGACGCAGCGACGCCGCGUGAGUGAAGAAGGCCU